UACGUAGGUGGCAAGCGUUAUCCGGAAUUAUUGGGCGUAAAGAGCGCGCAGGUGGUUGAUUAAGUCUGAUGUGAAAGCCCACGGCUCAACCGUGGAAGGUCAUUGGAAACUGGGGAACUUGAGUGCAGAAGAGGAGAGUGGAAUUCCAUGUGUAGCGGUGAAAUGCGUAGAUAUAUGGAGGAACACCGGUGGCGAAGGCGGCUUUCUGGCCAGUUACUGACGCUCAUGCGCGAAAGCUGGGGUAGCGAACCGGAUUAGAUACCCCCGUA
Molecule: ribosomal RNA, 269 nt
Filed under: uncultured prokaryote
Description: partial 16S ribosomal RNA
Rfam family: Bacterial small subunit ribosomal RNA
Source: RNAcentral